GACGAACGCUGGCGGCGUGCUUAACACAUGCAAGUCGAACGAAGAGCGAUGGAAGCUUGCUUCUAUCAAUCUUAGUGGCGAACGGGUGAGUAACGCGUAAUCAACCUGCCCUUCAGAGGGGGACAACAGUUGGAAACGACUGCUAAUACCGCAUACGAUCUAAUCUCGGCAUCGAGGAUAGAUGAAAGGUGGCCUCUACAUGUAAGCUAUCACUGAAGGAGGGGAUUGCGUCUGAUUAGCUAGUUGGAGGGGUAACGGCCCACCAAGGCGAUGAUCAGUAGCCGGUCUGAGAGGAUGAGCGGCCACAUUGGGACUGAGACACGGCCCAGACUCCUACGGGAGGCAGCAGUGGGGAAUCUUCCGCAAUGGACGAAAGUCUGACGGAGCAACGCCGCGUGAGUGAUGACGGCCUUCGGGUUGUAAAGCUCUGUUAAUCGGGACGAAAGGCCUUCUUGCGAAUAGGGAGAAGGAUUGACGGUACCGGAAUAGAAAGCCACGGCUAACUACGUG
RNAcentral lists this ribosomal RNA (510 nucleotides) under uncultured bacterium. RNAcentral's name for it is "partial 16S ribosomal RNA". It matches the Rfam family "Bacterial small subunit ribosomal RNA", at positions 28 to 507 of the family's 1533-position model. The record is from RNAcentral.